Haliotis rubra (blacklip abalone) is the source of this 68-nucleotide small nucleolar RNA. RefSeq annotates it as small nucleolar RNA R38. The transcript has a single exon. Lineage: Eukaryota; Metazoa; Mollusca; Gastropoda; Lepetellida; Haliotidae. The record is from RefSeq and is a predicted model, not a curated record.
UUUUGCCAAUGAUGAUGCAAGUUAUCCCUGUCAGACUAGACUGGUGACAAAAAUAAACUGAGGCAAAU